This 22-nucleotide microRNA is filed under the name Monodelphis domestica (gray short-tailed opossum). Its description in RNAcentral is "mdo-miR-7358-5p". The record is from miRBase by way of RNAcentral. Lineage: Eukaryota; Metazoa; Chordata; Mammalia; Didelphimorphia; Didelphidae.
CGCGAAAGUUGGCAAUGCCUCC